CCUACGGGUGGCAGCAGUGGGGAAUAUUGCACAAUGGGGGAAACCCUGAUGCAGCGACGCCGCGUGAGUGAAGAAGUAUUUCGGUACGUAAAGCUCUAUCAGCCGGGAAGAAAAUGACGGUACCUGACUAAGAAGCCCCGGCUAACUACGUGCCAGCAGCCGCGGUAAUACGUCGGGGGCAAGCGUUAUCCGGAUUUACUGCGGGUAAAGGGAGCGUAGACGGCAGGGCAAUUCCGGAGUGAAAUACCAGGGCUUAACCAUGGAACUGCUUUGGAAACUGUGCAGCUAGAGUGCAGGAGAGGUAAGCGGAAUUCGUAGGGUAGCGGUGAAAUGCGUAGAUAUUAGGAGGAACACCAGUGGCGAAGGCGGCUUACUGGACUGUAACUGACGUUGAGGCUCGAAAGCGUGGGGAGCAAACAGGAUUAGAUACCCCUGUAGUC
This 440-nucleotide ribosomal RNA is filed under the name uncultured bacterium. Its description in RNAcentral is "partial 16S ribosomal RNA". It matches the Rfam family "Bacterial small subunit ribosomal RNA", at positions 338 to 795 of the family's 1533-position model. The record is from RNAcentral.